GGCCACUGCCCGUGGGUCAUUUCCACCGUGGUCAGUGUGGUGUCAGAGCCGGGCCACUGCCCGUGGGUCAUUUCCACCGUGGCCAGUGUGGUGUCGAAGCCGGGCCACUGCCUGUGGGUCAUUUCCACCGUGGCCAGUGUGGCGUCGAAGCCGGGCCACUGCCCGUGGGUCAUUUCUGCUGUGGUUGGUGGUAGUGAGCCCAGGUGGUUCUGGGUGGCCUGAGCGCUGCCCAGCACCCACUCCCCAAGCCCUGCAGGUGGUGACUCCAAUGAGCAAAGGCCAAUGGCUGUUUUACAGAAAACAGAGGGCACCUUCCUGGCCAUCACCCGGCCUCCUGCCUUCACACAGAAUCCCCCAGCUCCUGGUGCAGCAGUGCUGGCCUGGCCUGUGGC
This 392-nucleotide long non-coding RNA is filed under the name Homo sapiens (human). RNAcentral's name for it is "HSALNT0207316". The record is from RNAcentral. Lineage: Eukaryota; Metazoa; Chordata; Mammalia; Primates; Hominidae.